This 750-nucleotide ribosomal RNA is filed under the name uncultured bacterium. Its description in RNAcentral is "bacterial SSU rRNA". It matches the Rfam family "Bacterial small subunit ribosomal RNA", at positions 36 to 786 of the family's 1533-position model. The record is from RNAcentral.
CUGGCGGCGUGCUUACACAUGCAAGUCGAGCGGAGUUUAUUGGGAGACGAUUUCGAUCUGAUCCUAGUUAAACUUAGCGGCGGACGGGUGAGUAACACGUGGGCGACCUACCCUUAAGACUGGGAUAACAACCCGAAAGGGUUGCUAAUACCGGAUACCUUCUCUUGGCUGCAUGGCCGGGGGAAGAAAAGAUUUAUCGCUUAAGGAUGGGCCCGCGACCCAUUAGCUAGUUGGUGAGGUAACGGCUCACCAAGGCGACGAUGGGUAGCUGGUCUGAGAGGACGAUCAGCCACACUGGAACUGAGACACGGUCCAGACUCCUACGGGAGGCAGCAGUGGGGAAUAUUGCACAAUGGGCGCAAGCCUGAUGCAGCAACGCCGCGUGAGCGAAGACGGCCUUCGGGUUGUAAAGCUCUGUCAGGGGGGACGAUAAUGACGGUACCCCCAAAGGAAGCCCCGGCUAACUACGUGCCAGCAGCCGCGGUAAUACGUAGGGGGCGAGCGUUGUCCGGAAUUACUGGGCGUAAAGGGCGUGUAGGCGGCCAUGCAAGUCAGCUGUGAAACCCCCGGGCUCAACCCGGGACGUGCAGUUGAAACUGUAUGGCUUGAGUGCAGGAGAGGAGAGUGGAAUUCCUAGUGUAGCGGUGACAUGCGUAGAUAUUAGGAGGAACACCAGUGGCGAAGGCGGCUCUCUGGACUGUAACUGACGCUGAGGCGCGAAAGCGUGGGGAGCAAACAGGAUUAGAUACC